RNAcentral lists this ribosomal RNA (423 nucleotides) under uncultured bacterium. Its description in RNAcentral is "bacterial SSU rRNA". It matches the Rfam family "Bacterial small subunit ribosomal RNA", at positions 355 to 775 of the family's 1533-position model. The record is from RNAcentral.
UGAGGAAUAUUGCGCAAUGGACGAAAGUCUGACGCAGCCAUGCCGCGUGCAGGAUGACGGCCCUAUGGGUUGUAAACUGCUUUUGUAUAGGAAGAAACUCGAAUACGUGUAUUUGAUUGACGGUACUAUAUGAAUAAGCAUCGGCUAACUCCGUGCCAGCAGCCGCGGUAAUACGGAGGAUGCAAGCGUUAUCCGGAUUUAUUGGGUUUAAAGGGUGCGUAGGCGGAAUAUUAAGUCAGUGGUGAAAUCCUGCAGCUUAACUGUAGUACUGCCAUUGAUACUAAGAUUCUUGAGUACGGUUGAGGUAGGCGGAAUGUGUAAUGUAGCGGUGAAAUGCUUAGAUAUUACACAGAACACCGAUUGCGUAGGCAGCUUACUAAGCCGCAACUGACGCUGAGGCACGAAAGCGUGGGGAUCGAACAG